GAUGAGUCCCAACCGACCCCCUAAAUAC
RNAcentral lists this transfer RNA (28 nucleotides) under Stefania ginesi (Tepuis treefrog). RNAcentral describes it as "partial tRNA-Phe". The record is from RNAcentral. Lineage: Eukaryota; Metazoa; Chordata; Amphibia; Anura; Hemiphractidae.